AAUGCGUACCAUGCAGACAGCAUCUCCAGUGCUCCUAAGGACUUUGCUGUCUACGGCCUGCAGGAAAAAGAUGACGAGGGAGGAACUUUGCUAGGAGAGUUCACCUUCACGCCAGGCCAGACUCCCAGUCAGACCUUCCAGCUGAAGAUAAGAAUGAGCACUCUGGGCUCAUCAAUUACGUAAAGCUGCAAGUGCUGAGCAACUGGGGCCACCCGGACUACACCUGUGUGUGUCAAUUCAGGCUCCACGGCAAUCCAGCUCAUGAUGAUGAAGAUAAGGGAAAGCUUUACCUGUCACGGAGGAAUCUCUAGGUCUGAGCCCGUGACAGGGGUGCAAACCCAGGGGACGAAAGCAAGUGGCAAAAGAAAUUACCCUACCUACCUACUAACAGCGCGGCACAUCCGGCCCCGGCUCUGUGACUAACAAGGCAAGGCAUGAUGUGGGCCAUGCGCUCCAGGAGAGGGGGGAGGGAGAUAACACAUGCGUCUAACAAAAAAAAAACAACAACCAACAACAAACUCAGAAUAAAUUAAUUCAACUUUUCCCAUCUUGAGUCUCUUUUGUCCAUCAGAGUAACUGUUAAGAGAUCUCCCUGUCUGUCUCGCCCCGUGAGCUUUUUCAUUCCCUUAUCUCCUGCUCUCCUGCGGGGGAGGAGGAGGAGGAGGGAGGGAGCGGCUGGGUGGGAGUUGGCAAAGUGAUCACAAGAUACUGUAUUUUCCGAUCCUUGUUGAACCACGGGCGAGAGUCAGCAGAACUGCUGCCCCCUUGGACUUCCAGAGGGCAGACCUUGGCCUCUUUCGGACCGUGGUUGAGAGGGUCCCUUAGGAGGCAGUUCUGGAGCGCACAGGAGCCCAGGAAGGCGGGGAAUGCUUUUAAGGGAGUUAUUUUAAAAGUGCAGGAGCUGACCAUCACUAAGUCACGCAAGACAAGUUGACGGGCAAGGAGGCCGGUCAGGCUGAACAGA
This is a non-coding RNA of Meleagris gallopavo (turkey), 964 nucleotides long. The record is from RefSeq and is a predicted model, not a curated record. NCBI's taxonomy places the organism in Eukaryota, Metazoa, Chordata, Aves, Galliformes, Phasianidae.